UACGGAGGGUGCAAACGUUGCUCGGAAUCAUUGGGCGUAAAGCGCACGUAGGCGGCGUGAUAAGUUGGGUGUGAAAGCCCUGGGCUCAACCCAGGAAGUGCAUUCAAAACUGUCACGCUUGAAUCUCGGAGGGGGUCAGAGAAUUCCCGGUGUAGAGGUGAAAUUCGUAGAUAUCGGGAGGAAUACCAGUGGCGAAGGCGCUGACCUGGACGAAGAUUGACGCUGAGGUGCGAAAGCGCGGGGAGCAAACAGG
This 253-nucleotide ribosomal RNA is filed under the name uncultured bacterium. RNAcentral describes it as "partial 16S ribosomal RNA". It matches the Rfam family "Bacterial small subunit ribosomal RNA", at positions 524 to 776 of the family's 1533-position model. The record is from RNAcentral.